GUGUUGGCUUCAGCAGCACAUAUAUUAAAAUUGGAAAGACAGAGAAGAUUAGCAUGGCCCCUGCACAAGGAUGAUAUGCAAAUUCAUGAAGAGUUCCAUAAUAAA
Small nuclear RNA from Equus asinus (donkey), 105 nucleotides. The record is from Ensembl. NCBI's taxonomy places the organism in Eukaryota, Metazoa, Chordata, Mammalia, Perissodactyla, Equidae.